This 465-nucleotide ribosomal RNA is filed under the name Vreelandella stevensii. RNAcentral describes it as "partial 16S ribosomal RNA". It matches the Rfam family "Bacterial small subunit ribosomal RNA", at positions 338 to 795 of the family's 1533-position model. Lineage: Bacteria; Pseudomonadati; Pseudomonadota; Gammaproteobacteria; Oceanospirillales; Halomonadaceae. The record is from RNAcentral.
CCUACGGAGGGCAGCAGUGGGGAAUAUUGGACAAUGGGCGAAAGCCUGAUCCAGCCAUGCCGCGUGUGUGAAGAAGGCCUUCGGGUUGUAAAGCACUUUCAGUGGGGAAGAAAGCCUUGGGGCUAAUACCCUCGAGGAAGGACAUCACCCACAGAAGAAGCACCGGCUAACUCCGUGCCAGCAGCCGCGGUAAUACGGAGGGUGCGAGCGUUAAUCGGAAUUACUGGGCGUAAAGCGCGCGUAGGCGGUCUGAUAAGCCGGUUGUGAAAGCCCCGGGCUCAACCUGGGAACGGCAUCCGGAACUGUCAGGCUAGAGUGCAGGAGAGGAAGGUAGAAUUCCCGGUGUAGCGGUGAAAUGCGUAGAGAUCGGGAGGAAUACCAGUGGCGAAGGCGGCCUUCUGGACUGACACUGACGCUGAGGUGCGAAAGCGUGGGUAGCAAACAGGAUUAGAUACCCUGGUAGUC